CGGAGAUGGCGACCGGCGCACGGGUGAGUAACACGUAUCCAACCUGCCGAUAACUCGGGGAUAGCCUUUCGAAAGAAAGAUUAAUACCCGAUGGCAUAAUUAGACCGCAUGGUCUUAUUAUUAAAGAAUUUCGGUUAUCGAUGGGGAUGCGUUCCAUUAGGCAGUUGGUGAGGUAACGGCUCACCAAACCUUCGAUGGAUAGGGGUUCUGAGAGGAAGGUCCCCCACAUUGGAACUGAGACACGGUCCAA
This 250-nucleotide ribosomal RNA is filed under the name uncultured bacterium. RNAcentral describes it as "partial 16S ribosomal RNA". It matches the Rfam family "Bacterial small subunit ribosomal RNA", at positions 83 to 334 of the family's 1533-position model. The record is from RNAcentral.